CGCUCCGGGUUAUACUCUCUGGCGCCAUCUUGGAUUAGGUCAGAGUCACCUCCGUCGGUAGUCCAGCAGUUUCUAACAUCUGGAUGCGUUGUCGUCCUUGACUGUUUCUCCCCGUAUAAACUCUGUCUCCAUGAUGGAUCAAGAAAAUGAUGCUUUCCUUCUCCCUUUUCAUCUUCUUCCAGUGGGUGAUCGAACAACCUGCCAUUUUGGGUCAGGGUAAUUGACGCCGAUAUCGCUUCCCAUCAACCCCAGAGGCGGGAGAGGAAUACACUUUUUGGCGGGUUCUCUUUGCUCCUGCACCAGCAGCCAGGUUGAAGGUUCAACCUUCGAAAGUUUCUUACCUGGCUUUUAAAUUUUAAGUUACUAGUACAGUGGAGAAGGUCAACGAGAAGUGUGCCCCCUUUUUUUACUAAAGUCGUACGUGUGGUCUAGGUUCCAGUGUCAUUUGGGAAGGUCUGGAAGGUUCAAGUGCAUCUUCCAGCCUGAAGCCCUGUGGGAUCACCUGUCGCCGAGGCGGGACGAGGACGAGGUAUUUAGGUGGUCAACUAAGGGUGAGGUGCCGAGUGGAGCAAGUAACUUCCCAUCUACAGUGGUCAAAAACAGAAGUGUUGGCUUAAACGGAAAACCUGACUGCUGAGAAUGAAGCAUUGGCAAGAAUGUGGAGAAAAAGGAACCCUCCUGCCCUGAUGGAGUAUAAUCAGUUCCUUGAGAGAGGAUAUUUCAGACACAUCUUAGCAUCUCUGACUACCAGAAGAAUAGGGGCUUACUUUCAGGAGCAGGGGCUAUUACUCUAAUUUUAUAGACGAGAAAACUGAAGCACAAACUACACAGCUCCAGUAGGAGGUGCAGCUGGAAACGACUCCCCUUGGCUGAUUAACCAGUUAUCUCCAACUAGAAGAACUCUAGUCCCAGAGUCCAAUAAUGUGAGGAUUUAUUACACACUUCCAUGUGGUCACCACUGGGGCAACAACAGUUUCUGACAUGAAGCCCUCCCCGCAGAAUGUCAGCAUUUGGAACACAGCAGGGCCUGCGGGCUAAGAUUUCAAACAAGCAGCAGUUAGAAAUUUUAAAGUUGUCUCCAAACAUUGUAGGUCCUCUGGCUGUCUCCAGUUCCAGUGAUCAAAGCCACUGAAGGUAAAUUAUUGUAGCUGUCAGAAUGGCCCCUCCCACUUCCCUUUUGGGUCACUGUCAAGGAAAUCCUACCCUAGUGACCCUGUCUCUCCUCUGCAUCUAUCUCAGAUGGCCCCAUUGGAUUCUCUCCUAACUCAGGUAGCUCCAGGUUCCAAAAACACCCGAGAUUGUUGUCCUGGCUGGUUGUUUCGUAUCACAAGUAAUCUGGUAAUUGCUUCUGAAUUGCAGGUCUACUUAGAUUCGGUGGUGAGGAGCAUAGAACUGGUACUUUUAAAAGUCUUAAAAAGUGGAAAAUAUGUGUGAAUAUAAAUGGCUAAUCACAAACUAUAACGUAGGUAUUGAGUCUAUAUUAUCAAUGUAAUUGGUGAAACUAUGGACCAUGCCCUCCAGACUGAUUUCACACAAACAUUUAAAUUUUAAUUUCACUGUAAUUUCAAAAGUAAUAUGCAUGGUUCAGGUAAAAUUUGGAGUUCUCGUUUUUCCCUAGUCUAUCUGGAACAGCGCUUAUAGAACUUUACAGAAAGUUUUAACCUGUGCUGUCUGAUCAGGUAGCCACUAGUCACAUGUGACUACUGAAUGCUUGAAAUGUGGUUAGCACAACUGAGGAACUGAAUUUGAAAAUUUAUUUAUUUUAAUUAACUUAAGCUUAAAUAGUCACUUGUGACCGUGGCUACCAUAUUAGUCAUAAUGGAAGUAGAAUUUGAUGAUGACCUUAUAACAGGAUAGUCAAUUAUGUUUCAGCCACAAAGUAACCUAAAAUCUUGGUGAUUUAUAAGAAUCAGGGGGAAAAGAGCCUCCUUAAUGACUAGCAAGGAUGUUAGCCUCCCUUUCAAAAUACAGUGAAGGAGUUCCUACAGGGUAAAGACAGUAGUAUCAUUUGUAUUUUCUUGAAAAUUGGAGAAUUGAGUUUCUUUAGAAUUCAAUUAUCCUUAAUCUCCUUGAUACUUAUUAGCAUUGAUUUAUUAAUAACCAGUAAGAUGUGAAAAGUAAAAUUCAAAACACUUUGAUUAAAAAGUAAAAGAGACUAUAUAAAGUUAGAGCUGACAAUAGCCAUCGUGUCUUUUUAAUUAUACAUAGAUAUAUCAUUUAAUAUGAAGUUCUGCAAUGUAAACAGCAACUAAUGAAUUUUUGUGUGUUUGGGAUGAAAAUGGAAUGGGAGAAAAUUUCUUUUUUUUUCCUGGUGCAGAAUAUUUAUAGUCAGUUUUUCCCUAGCAAGGAAUAAAAAGUCCUUUUCUUUAAAAAUAGUAAUUUCCUCACUAGGAAUACUUGUAGAUUGUGGUUGCCUAAAAAAAAAAUGAAAAAAAUUAAAUAUUUAUUAAUUGGACAAUGGAUUAUUUCCCUCCAGACUACAUUGUAGAAUCAUAGAAUCAUCUAACCAACAUUUAUUAGCAUGCCUUGAUUCUUUCUAGAGUAUCUAUAAUAUCAUUUGAACCCUCAAGACAUACGGGACUCACCAUCUGAUAACAGAUUUCCGAUAGAGCAGGAGGGUUAUCAGGAAUUUCCUCCUAACAAGUGUUUCAAUAUCAAGACACAGAAAGAUAGCACUUGAUUGCCAAUUACAAACCGCAGCAAAAUUACAAAUGCAAACCAAGCCCUCGUUAAUAAUAUUAAUGAUGAUGAUGAUUUUGUCACAUGCCAUAAAUGUCAUAUAGAUCUUAGCAUUAUGAAGAUUUGUUAGAUAGCGAAUGUAUGGAAGUUAUCUAUAGAAUUGAACCAAACUGAUGCUCAAGAGAGAUUUUGCACAAAAUUUGCAAAUUAGGCUACCCGGUGUGAACAAGAUCUCUGUAAGUUGUUCUGUUCCAAAGUGAAACACAACCAUCUCAGCCAUUCAUACAGCACAGCUUUUUUAUUUUUUUAUUUUAUUUUAUUUUUUAAAAGAUUUUAUUUAUUUAU
Molecule: long non-coding RNA, 3024 nt
Organism: Lutra lutra (Eurasian river otter)
Lineage: Eukaryota; Metazoa; Chordata; Mammalia; Carnivora; Mustelidae
Exons: 5
Source: RefSeq, a predicted model, not a curated record